GAUGAACGCUGGCGGCGUGCCUAAUACAUGCAAGUCGAACGGCAGCACAGUAAGAGCUUGCUCUUACGGGUGGCGAGUGGCGGACGGGUGAGGAAUACAUCGGAAUCUACUUUUUCGUGGGGGAUAACGUAGGGAAACUUACGCUAAUACCGCAUACGACCUACGGGUGAAAGCAGGGGAUCUUCGGACCUUGCGCGAUUGAAUGAGCCGAUGUCGGAUUAGCUAGUUGGCGGGGUAAAGGCCCACCAAGGCGACGAUCCGUAGCUGGUCUGAGAGGAUGAUCAGCCACACUGGAACUGAGACACGGUCCAGACUCCUACGGGAGGCAGCAGUGGGGAAUAUUGGACAAUGGGCGCAAGCCUGAUCCAGCCAUACCGCGUGGGUGAAGAAGGCCUUCGGGUUGUAAAGCCCUUUUGUUGGGAAAGAAAAGCAGCAGGUUAAUACCCCGCUGUUCUGACGGUACCCAAAGAAUAAGCACCGGCUAACUUCGUG
Molecule: ribosomal RNA, 492 nt
Filed under: uncultured bacterium
Lineage: Bacteria
Description: partial 16S ribosomal RNA
Rfam family: Bacterial small subunit ribosomal RNA
Source: RNAcentral